GGAGAUCUUGCGGACCUGUGCAGUGGGCCGUCGGAAAGGCAAGCCUGACCCUUUCAAGAGAGGCACACCUGUCCAGAAGUUCAUACUUGUAUGUUGCCCUGCAUAUGGCACUGAAAGAGAACACAGGGCUGAUUCCUUGACCUUUUGCAGUUCAUAGUCUAGUGAGGAAUACGAAUAAUUACAAAGGAAAGACUCUUUUACAGCCCUCAGCACUGUUAUUGCGUGAACUGGCUCAGCAUGGCCGGCCCAGUGAAGGACGCCAGUGGUAGUAACCGGGGAAGAGGGAUCCCCUGGCUCUUCUUACCAAACUUCUUCGAUCGUUUGGAGUGGUUUGGCCAUCAGUUAGUCAGGAAGAGGCCAGAAGGACACGUGCUGAUAAUGCUUCAAGAAAGUUAAACUUUAGGAAAAACUCGACCGAAGUAAAAAUAGCUAUGUAGUCAGUGACCAAAGCUACUUGGAUGGUCCUGUUGAUUGCUCUUG
RNAcentral lists this long non-coding RNA (480 nucleotides) under Equus caballus (horse). Its description in RNAcentral is "lncRNA (ENSECAG00000030623.3)". Lineage: Eukaryota; Metazoa; Chordata; Mammalia; Perissodactyla; Equidae. The record is from RNAcentral.